UCAUCAAAAAGAAGGUUUAAACCCUAAUUUUUUGUAAUUUCCAAAUCACGACACCAGCAUCUGCGGUGUCAACGACAACUACGCGAUCGCGGCGGUUUGUCACCUUCACGUAAGGUUUAUUUCGGAAAUAGAGGCAAAAAAUUUAUUGCUCUAGGAAAAAGGUGCAGUUCUAUUGGAGAAUCCGUUCAUAUGUACAAGGCGAAAUCUGAAAUCAAGUAUGCCAUGAAAAGCUAUGGAAAUUUUAUUUCAAGACUAACCCUAAGGCUAUGUUUGGAUUGCUAGAAGAGAACCGAGCGGAAUGAAUUAAAAUUUAGUGGAACGGAAUGAAUUAAAAAUACCAUUUUAUUGCUUGGGUAAUUUAUAAAAAGAUAAUAUUUCAUUCCAUUUUUUGAAAAGAGAAUGGAAUAGAAUAAGUUAUAACUUUUCAUUUCUUAUAUUAUUUUUAUUUUCUUUUUAUGAUGACUACUGAGUGAUGUGUUUAUGGACAUUUAAAAAUAUUGUUUACUCAAUUUAGUCACUGCAACAAAGACAAUCCUAUCAUUCA
Long non-coding RNA from Glycine soja, 544 nucleotides. RefSeq lists it as uncharacterized. The record is from RefSeq and is a predicted model, not a curated record. NCBI's taxonomy places the organism in Eukaryota, Viridiplantae, Streptophyta, Magnoliopsida, Fabales, Fabaceae. The transcript has 3 exons.